Molecule: non-coding RNA, 45 nt
Filed under: Schistosoma mansoni
Lineage: Eukaryota; Metazoa; Platyhelminthes; Trematoda; Strigeidida; Schistosomatidae
Source: RNAcentral
AUCAAACUGAUGAGUCCCAAAUGAGACGAAACGCGCGUCCUGUAU